AUUACAGAACAUUGUUGUUUGCUUUUUUUUCCGACUAGAGUGCGUUUUAUCGUCAAGCUUAAAGCUUAUAGGAAAACAACUCGAACUAUAUUGGUAAACAGAAGUAAUGCUUAUGUGUUUAAGGGGUUAAAACAUGACAAAGCCGGGACUCUGUGUGAGAAUUGGCCUUCAUGCUCUUAUAGAAUAUGCCUCGGGUUGUUAUGGGACACUUGUGCAAUCUUCGCCAACUUUACAUUUAAAAUGUCAUCUUAUAGAAAGUCAUAUGCCCAGUUUGUGACGUGAACGCGCCAGCGGUUCAAAGAGACGCUAUAAAAUUUAACAAAGCUUAUAAAGGCAAACCAGUAAUUUUACCCAGUAUUCUAAUUUCUGUCAUACAAAGUAAAAGCACACAUAUAGUAUUUAUAAUGUAUAGUCGUUUUUAGACGGGAGGCUAGGUGCGUGUGGGAAAGGGGAAAGAAAUGUAGAAAUGCUUUUAUGUCAAAAGAUGGCAAUCAAAAACCUCCAAAUAAUUGCAGAAUUUCAAACCGUCAUGGCAGGUUUUUGUCAACAUACAUACAAAUGGUCGUUCACUGGGGAACACCAGAAAACUUACUCGCCUACUGGUAGGAAAAAGGUAGGGAGGAGAGAGCUCGUACAAUCACCAGUUGGUACCUGAGGUUGCUCUUACCACAAGUUUGUGACAAGUAGUACUUGAAAAAGUUUUUUUUGUUGUGUGUCAGAAUCUGGAUGCUUUAAAGAAACCAAACAAAGGAUAUUAAGCAUACAAAAGUUCAAAGACAUCCAAGUGAGCGCAAAUGAGGGGUAAAUUACAAGAAUAGAAAAUAAUGAUACGAACUGAAAAAAAUGCCAUGCAUGCAAAUGAAAAUUCUUCCCAUACUUUGUAUGAUAACAUUCCACAAACUUAAUGAUAUUGCUAUUUGAUUCAUUUUGCAAAAACUAAAUGUCUUUAUUCCAAUAUACUAACAAAAGUAAUAAAUGUUUGUAAACACUUCAUUCUUAAUUUAUUUUGAAUAAUUUACAGGUUUACAAUAAGUUGCCUUAACAAAACUACUGCCAAUGACACUACAGCUCGUACUGAGCUGUACUAAAGUAACUAAUAGUCAUGUGUAACCUUAAGCAGAGAAAAGAAAAUGCAUUUGGAUAUUCUCGGCUACAUUCGUUAACAAAAACAAUGGUGUUUGGUGAAUUUUGAUGGUGUUUGAAAAUGUAUGUUGUUUUAACAAUUCGGAACGUGAUUAUUUUAUAAUAUAUAUUGCAAUUGAUGUAAAAAGGAUUACUUUUAACAGAUUCUGGACAUGACAUAUAACUUGACUGAAAUGUUGGCUACACAUUUGGGUCAUGAUCCCAGAACUCAUAAAGAAAAUUAAAGGUUGACCCCCUCCACAAGAGAAUUAUCCCUGACUUGAUCCUGAAGACGAAAUUCUGAGGGAUGCAACAGCUAAUGCUCUUCCCAUGAAACAAAGUGGCUCUGCUCCAAAUGAUCAAAGUAGCUCCGCCUGUGGUAAAAAGAAGAGAUGGUCCCAUUCUGAACAGACUAUGCUGCAGGAAUAAAAUCCAUAGAUGUCUUAGGGGAAAUUGACAAGUGCAUAAAACAGACUUAAUCCAUUGUCAAAACAUUUGUGCCAAACUAUACAAAAGAUCUUUGGCUCACACUAGAACAAAACUCAAUAACAUGAAACUAGAUGAAUCUUGUUAGAUAAGGAUACAUUAUGUAAAGGUGAAAAGCAAUAUGUAGCACCACUCAAUGUAUAGUUUUGUUCUUAGUACAAAAUUUCUAAUCAAAAGUAACAUAUCUGAACUUUGGGAAUCAUUAUCGUUUUGAGGACACCAAAUAUUGUUCAGUCUGACUUGUUAUCAUUAGUUUAUAGUGGUUUGCAAAAGGAUCACACAUAACACUAAGCUAUAUUAAACAAAUACAAGGAUCUUUUUGAGUGCAAUUUUGACUCAAUUUUAAUAUUUGUUUUAUGUUUAAUGCUGUUUUCCCUAUCUGUGGAGGCUGUACAAACAGGCUGAAAAUGUAGUUAUCUGUUGAUAGAACUGAUACAAUUAUUGUCUGUUAAACUUUAUAGGACUAAGUUUGAUAUCAAGACUGGUAAAAGGAGUAACUCAAUGAAUGUUUUAGCUCACCUUAGCCGUAGGUUGUGGGUGAGCUAUGAGGAUCGAUGAAUGUCCCUCAUCUGACGUCCGUCGUCAUCCAUACUUACUAACUUAGUUUGUUUACACUCUAGUGGUCACAUUUUUGCCUCAAUUGUCACGAAACAUGGUCAGGAUAUUUGUCCCAGUAAUUACUGUGACGUAAUCUGAAUAUGGGUCAUCUGGGAUGAAAAACUAGGUCACAUGACCCAAAAAUAGAAAAAUAAGUCUUGUUGACACUCUAAAGGCUACAUUUUUAGUCCAUAUAUAUUUUAUCAUGGAAAUUUGUCAGAAAGGUUGUUUCGAUGAUUUCUAGCUUAAUUUGAAUAUGGGUCAUCUGGGUCAAAAACUAGGUCACCGAGCUCAAAUAUGGAAAAACCAUGUUAACACUCUAGAGGUACAAUAUAACAUUUUCAACCCAAAUAUCCUGGAAAUUUGUCAGAAAGGUUGUCUUGAUAAUUUUUAAGUCAAGUUCGAAUAUGGGUCAUCUGGGGUCAAAAUUUAGGUCACAGAGCCCACAACUGUUUAGACCGUUUUACAGGUGAGCGAUCUAGGGCUAUCAUGGCCCUCUUAUUUGGGAUUGGAGUUAUACUACAAUUUAGCUACACAUGCAAUGCCCAAUACUAGUAUGAUGUUUGUAUUAUAAGUGCCCAAUUGCAUAAUUUCUACUAAAUCUAAAGAUGUCUUGAGAAGUCAUUUUGUGUUAUUGUAAACUAAAGAAAACAUUUGAAAGUAUUUUGCUUAAUUGAAGUGUAUUUAGUUUUAAUGACCUUCUUAUGUAUCUAUAUAGAACACACAAGGCAAUUUCUUCCGCUAAACAAAAAAUACUUCAUUCAUGUCUGAUUAUAACCAGAUAUAAGUGAUAUAUAAUAAUGUGUAAAUCUACACUUAAGUAGCACACCCCUAAUGUGCACCAUUUCAAACUAUGAUCAGCUUGAUAACUUCUUAAUGUGUAUCAUUUCCUGGAUUCAAAAACAAAAUUUAAAAGAAAUUUACUGUCAAAAAACAAUUUUAUUUAAAUUUCAAUUACCCUACCUAAAAAUCCUUUAUUUCAUUUUUUCAACAUUUUGGUAAGAAUUUGGUAUCAGAGUGACAAGAAAUAUAUUUGAUUUCAGAAAUGAUACAUUAUUGAUCACAUCACCCCAACAAACAUAAUCAUACUGAAAUAGCCAUAUGGUAUUUCAAUUUUAUCAUACUGUUUUGACCGUGUAAAAUAGAACAUUGACGUUGAAAAGCAAAAUCAAAAAGUUCUUGAAAUACUCAUGACCUGUUCUUUAUUAAUGAUUAUCUUUAAUCUUUCGGGAACAUUAUGCCAAAAAAUCAAUAUGUUUUACCAUCUCAUUUAAAAAAAAAAGGUUUGUAAUUUCCAACCACCUAUUUCAGCCGGCCUGCAAGUUAUUAAAUCUUCAUAAAAGCUAAUAUUUAUGUGUAGAAAUGUAUUUAAUUGCCUUUUAAUGAAACCACAAUAUUAACUUCUGUAAAAAAUGUGUGCUAAUGAAAACAAAGAAGAAGAAAAAAAGUAUUUGUGCUUCUGGCUGGAUUCGAACCACUGCCUUGAUACCCUUAAAAGAUGUGUAGUCCUGUGCUUAACAACAUAGGCAUUAGAAUUGAAGAGUUUCAAGUGGAGUUUUUCAUUAGGGGUGUGCUACCUUAAAAUAAAAGUCAUAUCUGAUUAAAAUUGUAUUUCUGUGACAUCGCUUAAAUGCAAAGUGACUGUUGGUUGGUUUAGGCACUACAGUUGUAGCAACCUUAUUUGUUUACUAAUAAAUUGUACUGAAAUAUGUUUCUUGAGCCAGGAUUGUUUGUAUCAAAAUUUGUUAUUAUAUUGAAAUCAUAUAUUCAUGUUCAUAUACUAUUUCUUGUCAACAAACAUGGAGUUGGUUAGCCAUUUGUGGGUUUAAUUAUAUUCAGAAAAUUUCUCUAGUGUUGUAAUUGUAACUUGAAAAUGUAUUUAAUUAUUAAGAAAAUAGUGGUGAAAAUUAUGGUGUUCACAAAUGACAUCCAUAAUUUACCAGAUACAUUAAUAUUUACCAGAGAAAUAGAUUUAAGCUCGACCUUCGACUUUUGUCCAGCACUUGUAAGCUCUGCUCUUAUUUUAUAUAAUUGGUCACAUGAACACCACCUGCACUUCCCUUUUUUAUAAGAAAAUUUAGUGUCUUUUUCCAGCCGUUCUUGACCAUGCAUGUAAGGUUUAUCAGUUACAUGUGUUUUAUCUUGGUUCAUGUCAUUUAGGGCAAUUUUACAUUUGUUUUAAAAUGUUAUUUCGUUGUGGUCAGAUAAAUAUUGUUUGUAUGUUUACGAUAAUAUAAGUUACGGGUUUCUUAGUAGGUGACCGGAUGUGGGAUAUAUGGGGAGACAAUAUCAGGUGAGAGCGAAGCUCGAACCCGAAUAUGGUUUCCUGCGCCCGGUAUAUCCCAUAUCGGGUCACCUACUAACCACGUAACGUAAAUAUCACGUCGACAACUUCAUUUCUUCAUCGGAAUCGGGAAAUAGACGUCAUUUUGGGUACCAUAUAAAAUUAGUGACCCAAUAUGAUAAAAUUAUUGGGUCAUUGCGUGACCAAUGGCGUUGCGUCAUUCAUGUUGGAGGCGUGAUAUACUCAUAUAGAUUGAUGUUAAGUAACUUUAAAUCCUUGGGAAUCUAAAUUAAUAAAACCUUGUAUUAUUGUAAGGUUGCUAGAUAUGAGACAACAGUUAAACACAACAACUGGUUUAGUUAAAUGUUUUAUACAUGUUUCACUACGAGGAUAGAAAAAAUGAAAAGUUGUGGGUGUAACAAAAAAAAAUUGAUAGCAUAUUGAUAGUACCCAUUUGUACCGAUUUCAUUCACAUGAACGUUGGAAUAUCCUA
This is a long non-coding RNA of Mya arenaria, 4982 nucleotides long. RefSeq lists it as uncharacterized. The transcript is spliced from 4 exons. The record is from RefSeq and is a predicted model, not a curated record. NCBI's taxonomy places the organism in Eukaryota, Metazoa, Mollusca, Bivalvia, Myida, Myidae.